This 1009-nucleotide ribosomal RNA is filed under the name human gut metagenome. Its description in RNAcentral is "bacterial SSU rRNA". It matches the Rfam family "Bacterial small subunit ribosomal RNA", at positions 434 to 1533 of the family's 1533-position model. The record is from RNAcentral.
UAUUCGGAAGUGACUCUGCCACAGGGAGAAAGCGGUACUGACAAAGACACGGCGAAAACGGCCACAACCACGGUAAAAGUAGGGUCAAAGGAUAUCCGGAUCUACUGGGAGUAAAGGAGCGCAGCCGGUCGGCAAGUCUGAGGUGAAGACCCGGGGCUCAACCCCGGUACAGCACUGGUAGACUGUCGUAAGUGAGCGUCGGAGGGGUAAACGGAAUACCUAGUGUACCGGUGAAAAGCGUAGGAUGAUAGGAGGAACAUCAGUGGAGAAGCCGGCUUAAUGGACGAUUACUGACGGUGAGGCUCCAAAGCAUGGUGCGUUAACAGGAGUAGAUACCCUGGUAGUCCACGCCGUAAACGAUGAAUAAUAGGUGUUGGGAACCAUGGCAUCACAGGAGCCGUAGCAGACGCAGUAAGUAUUCCACCUGGGGAGUACGAUAGCAAGAAUGAAACUCAAAGGAAGUGACGGGGAACCGCACAAACGGAGGAGCAUGUGGUUUAAAUCGAAGCAACGCGAAGAACCAUACCAAGUCUUGACAUCCUUAUGAACGGUAGUUAUCAGUACUUUUUGUUCGGAGCAGGAGUGACAGGUGAUGCAUGGUGAUAGUCAGCUGGUGUCGUGAGAUGAUGGGUUAAGUCCCGCAACGAGCGCAACCAUUAUAUGUAGUCGUCAGCGGUUAGGCUGGGCACUCUAGAGAGACUGCCAAGGAUAACCUGGAGGAAGGCGGGGACGACGUCAAAUCAUCAUGCCCCGUAUGACUUGGGCUACACACGUGAUACAAUGGCGUAUACAAAGGGUAGCAAAGCUGUGAAGCCGAGCUAUAUCUCUAAAAAGUACGUCUCUAGUUCAGACUAGUAGUCUGCAACCUUGCCUACACGAAGCUGGAAUUACUCGUAAUCGGAGAUCAGAAUGCUACGCUGAUACGUAAUCGGUCACGUCAUCACGCCCUGAACGGUAACAUGAUCCACCAAGUGUNNNCCUCUGUAGAUCUAUUUUUUUAUUUUUUUUU